UGCUCAGAGGCAAAGGUGAGAUUCGAUCCUACGAUAAACUAUCAAGGUCUGCUAAUUAAGCUAGCUGCUACCUUAAAAAUGUAUGAGUUGAGAUUUCAAACUCCCAACCUUUGGUAAAAGGAUCCGGUACACCACCAUUAGAUCAAUGUUUAAGGAGUGAAAAAUGUGUCAACUGAAAUUUUUAUCACCAUCACCUUUGGUACGAGUAUGAUAUACCACCAUCAAACCAAUGUUUAAGAUAUCACAUAAGCUCUUAUUAUACAUCCUUUGAUGCAACUUCUAAAUCUUUGAGAAAGUUUCAAAGGAAUAGAUUGCAUGAAACUGUAAGUUGCCAUCUAUGUGCUUCAUUAGCUAACCAAUUUGCAGCAGCAUUAAUUGAUUGAUUGAUAUUUGUUUGAAGUCUGUUUUGAAACCAAUUGUCAUAAUUCGGUUUGACGUAUCUAUAAACCUAAUACAAAAUUCCAAAUCUUCUUUGUCCAAAAUAUCUGAACCCUAACUAUAAAGAUAUCAAAUUUAAUGUUAUCUUUUGUCUAGAACUCUUACCAUUGUAAAUUUGACAGGGUCCAUAGUCAAUGACUUUCCUUCAUUCGUUGAUGCAGAAUGUACACUAUAAGUCAGAAUAGAAGUUUCAUGUAAGACUGGUACCUUGUGAUGCUUCUAGUUUCCAUAUCCCAUUCAUGUCUUGUGCCUCCACUGUUGCUCGGGAGCUGGGUGUAUUCCUGCCUAACUCUCCUGACAACAUGAACUCAGAACCCAAGACCAAGUUGAACUCUAAAAGCCUGCACUCAUGCUUAUUCUUAUAUGCUUAGCAUCACAACACAGGUCACAAGAUACAGAAACAGGUGGCGUGUUCCCUGGUAUGACCUUUAAGAUGUGCUUCCUCCUUCCUGCCCCAUCUGUGAGAUCAAGAUUUCUCAGCGAUCUGAAUCACAAGCGGGGAGGUACAAAAGCACUAAGCCUUUCUCCACCACUUUCUUCUUACACCAGGGACUGAGUUCUUUCUGCUGAGUCAUAUGUAUAAUGAUGAUAUUUUGUUUAUGUAAUCAAGGACAACAACAAUAUAAAUCAGCCCCCACCUCAUUCUGUAUGAUGUCACAAUCUUGCUAUCUUGUAAUAGCUACAUAGCACAAUACAAAAAAUGCAAAUUCUUUUUACAGCUGCCUGCAACUCUGGGCAUAUUACAACUCGUUAUCUCAAAAUCUAAUUUGUUUUCCUUUUCAUCUCAAAAUCUAAGUUCACUGGAAGAUAUCAUGAUCGAACUAUUAUGAUCUUAAAAUCUAAGUUUACCAGAACAGUUCAGCUCAUAAGAGUUCAUUCAUGAUAUGCUUUCUUAGGAAGAGCCUGUAAACUAUAGCAGAUAAAGCAGAUCCCUGGCAUUUCUAGACAAAUUGUUCUUGAAGUCCAAAAAGCAAAUAAUUCCACUGUUCCAAGUAGACCACUACAUGCAAGUGUCAAUCAUGGCAUCCCAUUCUCAAUCCUAGAAGAAUGUCAAAACCUAAAGCUUUUCCAGUUCAAAUAAAUCUGCACUAUUUUCUCUAUAAAAGCUUCAGCUUAACCUUCACUCCCUAACCAUUGUACUUAACAACUUGUUUCCUUACUUGCUGCCUCUCCUCUUGCUUCAAUGGCUCUGCCCACUCAACUGCUCUUCUUCUUACCUCUACUUCUCCAACAUCCCACCAGAGCAGAGACAUGCAGCGAUUGCUUCACCCAAUCCAGGGCAGCUUACUACCCAAAUUCUGAUAAAACAGGAACAGAGAGGAAGAUCCAAACACCUGCAUGAAACAUGUUUUCUGUCGGUGUGUCAUUAAUUCUUUUGCUCAGAUAAUCUCAACUUCUCAUCUGACUUAAGCUGGUUCAUU
RNAcentral lists this long non-coding RNA (1859 nucleotides) under Musa acuminata (dwarf banana). RNAcentral's name for it is "long non-coding RNA (MACU_LNC002532)". The record is from RNAcentral. Lineage: Eukaryota; Viridiplantae; Streptophyta; Magnoliopsida; Zingiberales; Musaceae.